UAUGGGGGACUUUUGGGAUAGCAUUGGAAAUGUAAUUGAGGAAAAUAUGUAAUAAAAAAUAUUAAUAAAAAAAAAGAAAGAAAAUGUACUUGGAAUGGCUCUAUUCUAGGAUUCUGCCACCUAAGCAGAAUGAAACGAGACUAUUUUCCACUUAAAAAUUUAUCUGUAGUUUUACUUUCAGAAAGUGAACGAUCACUUGACCCCAAGUCUUUAUUGUACAUCCCUAUGCUUAGGCCUGGCCUGUCUUCAGCACAAAUGUCAAGUUGGUUUAGCCAGAGCCUAUGGUUCCUUAGGGUUCUAUUCAGUGACUCUGAAACGUCCCAGAUCCUGCUACAAACCCUACCUAUCCAGAAUGUAGACUGAGCUCAGCUCAGUAAUGUCAAAGCCUGAUUUUACUGGUGUUAGUCGUGGCCUCAUUUUUCUAGAGAUGCAUCUUAGUCAGUAGCAAAGGAGGAAAGCAUAGUCGGCCUCUCAUUUCCGCCCUUUUACCUGACAAGAGGAACUACAGACACCUCUUCCCACAAACAAACAAACAAACAAAAAACAAAACACCUUGCCCAUGGCAUGGCUCAGUCAUUGCUUGAGCUGUCAUUUCCUUCAUCUCUACUCCAUCUUUGUCCUUACACAUUUUGUAGGCAGUUUGGGAUGGAGAUUAUUGUGAGUGGUUGCUGUUUUCAUCCCUUCUCUGGGAGUCCUGCCUGGCCUCAAUGGGAGAGGAUGUUCCUGGUCUUGCAGUGACUUGAUGUGCCAGGGAGAGGAAAUCUGUGGUGGUGGGCUUCCCCUUCUGAGAGAGCUGUGGAAGGGGGCACUGGGAGGAGAAGGGGGCAAUGUUGGGACAUACAUUUAACAAAUUAAUGGGGAAAACCAACCUUUUCUUCCUUUUCUUUCCUUGCUUGUAACAGCUAAGGUUGAUGUCACUGUCCCUCUUAACAGCCUUUUCCGUUCCUUUCUGUUUCACUUUAAGGGACUUUUGUCUGAGUCCCAACAAACC
RNAcentral lists this long non-coding RNA (991 nucleotides) under Mus musculus (house mouse). RNAcentral's name for it is "long non-coding RNA chr4:96029758-96030749". The record is from RNAcentral. Lineage: Eukaryota; Metazoa; Chordata; Mammalia; Rodentia; Muridae.